GAUGAACGCUGGCGGCGUGCCUAAUACAUGCAAGUAGAACGCUGAAGGAGGAGCUUGCUCUUCUGGAUGAGUUGCGAACGGGUGAGUAACGCGUAGGUAACCUGCCUGGUAGCGGGGGAUAACUAUUGGAAACGAUAGCUAAUACCGCAUGACAACAGUUAUUGCAUGAUAACUGUUUAAAAGGGGCAACUGCUCCACUACCAGAUGGCCCUGCGUUGUAUUAGCUAGUUGGUGAGGUAACGGCUCACCAAGGCGACGAUACAUAGCCGACCUGAGAGGGGGAUCGGCCAAACUGGGACUGAGACACGGCCCAGACUCCUACGGGAGGCAGCAGGAGGGAAUCUUCGGCAAUGGACGGAAGUCUGAACGAGCAACGCCGCGGGAGGGAAGAAGGGUGUCGGAUCGUAAAGAUCUGUUGUAAGAGAAGAACGAGUGUGAGAGUGGAAAGUUCACACUGUGACGGUAGCUUACCAGAAAGGCACGGCUAACUACGUG
RNAcentral lists this ribosomal RNA (495 nucleotides) under uncultured bacterium. RNAcentral describes it as "partial 16S ribosomal RNA". It matches the Rfam family "Bacterial small subunit ribosomal RNA", at positions 28 to 507 of the family's 1533-position model. The record is from RNAcentral.